GUACGUACAAGCAGUGGGAGCCCCACCACUAAGCCAGUGGUGAACUCCACAUACGCAUCCUUUGCUGAUGGCAAUGGUUAACGGAGCGAAAGCGACGUUCAACCGCAAAACAAGCAGAGGGGGCUUAGUGGUGGGGUGACUGCGUACCUUUUGUAUAAUGGGUCAGCGACUUAUAUUCUGUAGCAAGGUUAACCGUAUAGGGGAGCCGCAGGGAAAC
RNAcentral lists this ribosomal RNA (217 nucleotides) under Salmonella enterica. Its description in RNAcentral is "partial 23S ribosomal RNA". It matches the Rfam family "Bacterial large subunit ribosomal RNA", at positions 560 to 678 of the family's 2925-position model. Lineage: Bacteria; Pseudomonadati; Pseudomonadota; Gammaproteobacteria; Enterobacterales; Enterobacteriaceae. The record is from RNAcentral.